RNAcentral lists this ribosomal RNA (465 nucleotides) under Vreelandella stevensii. RNAcentral's name for it is "partial 16S ribosomal RNA". It matches the Rfam family "Bacterial small subunit ribosomal RNA", at positions 338 to 795 of the family's 1533-position model. Lineage: Bacteria; Pseudomonadati; Pseudomonadota; Gammaproteobacteria; Oceanospirillales; Halomonadaceae. The record is from RNAcentral.
CCUACGGGGUGCUGCAGUGGGGAAUAUUGGACAAUGGGCGAAAGCCUGAUCCAGCCAUGCCGCGUGUGUGAAGAAGGCCUUCGGGUUGUAAAGCACUUUCAGUGGGGAAGAAAGCCUUGGGGCUAAUACCCUCGAGGAAGGACAUCACCCACAGAAGAAGCACCGGCUAACUCCGUGCCAGCAGCCGCGGUAAUACUGAGGGUGCGAGCGUUAAUCGGAAUUACUGGGCGUAAAGCGCGCGUAGGCGGUCUGAUAAGCCGGUUGUGAAAGCCCCGGGCUCAACCUGGGAACGGCAUCCGGAACUGUCAGGCUAGAGUGCAGGAGAGGAAGGUAGAAUUCCCGGUGUAGCGGUGAAAUGCGUAGAGAUCGGGAGGAAUACCAGUGGCGAAGGCGGCCUUCUGGACUGACACUGACGCUGAGGUGCGAAAGCGUGGGUAGCAAACAGGAUUAGAUACCCGUGUAGUC